CUUUGAGGAGUCUGAAGAGAAGUGGCUGUCAUCCUUAGAGAGCUCAAGAUGGAUGGAGUAUGUCAGGACAUUUCUUCGGCAUGCAGUAGAGGUAGUCUAUAUGCUGGAGAGCAGACAUGUGUCUGUCGCACUCCUAGAGAAAGAGGAUCGGGACCUGAGUUGUGUGAUUUCCUGUCUG
Sinocyclocheilus anshuiensis is the source of this 178-nucleotide long non-coding RNA. RefSeq lists it as uncharacterized. NCBI's taxonomy places the organism in Eukaryota, Metazoa, Chordata, Actinopteri, Cypriniformes, Cyprinidae. The transcript is spliced from 3 exons. The record is from RefSeq and is a predicted model, not a curated record.